Molecule: transfer RNA, 73 nt
Filed under: Mus musculus (house mouse)
Lineage: Eukaryota; Metazoa; Chordata; Mammalia; Rodentia; Muridae
Description: tRNA-Ser
Source: RNAcentral
GGCGAGAUGGCUCAGUAGGUAAGAGCACUGACUGCUCCUCUGAAGGUCCCGAGUUCAAAUCCCGGCAACCACA